Molecule: ribosomal RNA, 506 nt
Filed under: Cnemaspis assamensis
Lineage: Eukaryota; Metazoa; Chordata; Lepidosauria; Squamata; Gekkonidae
Description: partial large subunit ribosomal RNA
Rfam family: Bacterial large subunit ribosomal RNA
Source: RNAcentral
AGGGUCCUGGCCUGCCCAGUGGAGAACAUUAAACGGCCGCGGUAUCCUAACCGUGCAAAGGUAGCGUAAUCACUUGUCCCCUAAAUAGGGACCAGUAUGAACGGCUAAAUGAGGGCCGAACUGUCUCCUCCGACCACCCAAUGAAACUGAUCUUCUAGUCCAAAAGCUAGAAUAAGUACAUAAGACGAGAAGACCCCGUGGAGCUUCAAACACACCACGCUACCCCCAACAGUAGUAGUAAUGUUUUAAGUUGGGGCGACUGUGGAGCAAAACAAAACCUCCACGACCAGGGCCAACGCCCAAACAAAGGCAUACAUGCCAACAAAACUGACCCAGUACCACUGAUCAACGAACCAAGUUACCCCGGGGAUAACAGCGCCAUCCCCUUAAAGAGUCCUUAUCGCCAAGGGGGCUUACGACCUCGAUGUUGGAUCAGGACGCCCAGGCGGCGCAGCCGCUGCCAACGGUUCGUUUGUUCAACGACUAACGUCCUACGUGAUCUAGUU